RNAcentral lists this long non-coding RNA (284 nucleotides) under Elaeis guineensis (African oil palm). Its description in RNAcentral is "long non-coding RNA (EGUI_LNC061240)". Lineage: Eukaryota; Viridiplantae; Streptophyta; Magnoliopsida; Arecales; Arecaceae. The record is from RNAcentral.
GCUUGUAGUGACCCCUCUUGUUGCAAUUGUAGCAAGUGAUAUUUUUCUUUUGUCUUCUUUCUUCUUCUUUCUUCUUCAAGCUUUUCUUUAUGAGAAACUUUUUGAACGUUCUUGAAAGUAGAAUCAUGUCCUCAUUAUCCUCUUCACUUUCUUCAUCUUCAUCUUCCUCCAACUCAUUGCUUCCAUUAAGAUUGGCAGUGGAUUUGAAAGCAAUGGUCCUCCUCUUAGGCUUCUCUUCUUUCUCCUUUUGUGCUAUGUUCAACUAAUAUAUCAUGAGUGAACCA